GGUGAUAUAGCCAAGCGGUCAAGGCAAAGGUCUGCAAAACCUUUAUCCUCGGUUCGAAUCCGAGUAUCACCU
This 72-nucleotide transfer RNA is filed under the name Priestia megaterium. RNAcentral describes it as "Bacillus megaterium tRNA-Cys". It matches the Rfam family "tRNA". From Rfam's summary of the family: Transfer RNA (tRNA) molecules are approximately 80 nucleotides in length. Their secondary structure includes four short double-helical elements and three loops (D, anti-codon, and T loops). Further hydrogen bonds mediate the characteristic L-shaped molecular structure. tRNAs have two regions of fundamental functional importance: the anti-codon, which is responsible for specific mRNA codon recognition, and the 3' end, to which the tRNAs corresponding amino acid is attached (by aminoacyl-tRNA synthetases). tRNAs cope with the degeneracy of the genetic code in two manners: having more than one tRNA (with a specific anti-codon) for a particular amino acid; and 'wobble' base-pairing, i.e. permitting non-standard base-pairing at the 3rd anti-codon position. Lineage: Bacteria; Bacillati; Bacillota; Bacilli; Caryophanales; Bacillaceae. The record is from RNAcentral.